This is a non-coding RNA of Phoenix dactylifera (date palm), 198 nucleotides long. The record is from RefSeq and is a predicted model, not a curated record. NCBI's taxonomy places the organism in Eukaryota, Viridiplantae, Streptophyta, Magnoliopsida, Arecales, Arecaceae.
AUACCUUUCUCGGCCUUUUGGCUAAGAUCAAGUGUAGUAUCUGUUCUUAUCAGUUUAAUAUCUGAUACGUGGGUCAUCGACCCACCUUGAUAUUAAAUUAAUUUAUUGUGGGGGAGGGUCCGCCUACAAUGGCUUGCCAUUGGGGCCCUCAAGCGUCGCCCAUGCGUUGCACUACCGCUCGGGCCUGGCGCACCCCUA